GGGCAAAAGCUAAAAAUUAUUCACAAGAUAGGGAAUCUACAAAAUCCAAAAGAAAUGAACACCAAAAAAAUCAUUUUUCCUGUGCCAAAAAUAGGAGCUGGAAUUCAACAAAACCUGCUACUACCAAACAAUCCCCAACCAGUAAAUACACAACCUCCCAUAUUUGCAAACUACAAAGUAAAAGCAAGCGUAUAAUGGAUUCAGUCACACUGUUUGCAAGAAAAUUUCAUCUAAAUAUACUAUGCUAGAAAGAGCUACUCCAGACAAGAGAAAAGAAUAC
Molecule: unclassified non-coding RNA, 280 nt
Filed under: Hevea brasiliensis (rubber tree)
Lineage: Eukaryota; Viridiplantae; Streptophyta; Magnoliopsida; Malpighiales; Euphorbiaceae
Source: RNAcentral